UUUCUUCUUUUCGCCAAAACAAUUUUUUUUCAUUUUCUUCUUUGAUAUACCUUUGUUCAGGCUGAAAAAGAAGUAACACAGAAAUCUUCGGUCAUCGGAUCCAUGGAAUAAAGGUGUUAGUACUUGAGCGAAGGGUUUGUACACAGUUAUUAGUGUUCUCUUUUUUCUCUGCUUCUCUCUUCGAUCCACCUCCAGAAAACCCCCAAAUCUCUAGGGUAAAGCUGGUUUAAUGUUGUAGCAAAAUGCAUUGCUGUAUCUAAAGGUGACUUUAAAGCCUGAUAGCUACAAAUGCCAAGUGAUAAGACAGUAGUAGGAACAGAUGAUGUGUUCAACACUUUUGUCAGUGAAAAUGGUACUGAAAAACAUGUACCUCUUGCCAUCUUUGUAGAUCUUGAACUAACCGUCAUUGAUGAAGAAACAUUGUAGAUUCCUUUCAUUACCAUGAUAGCACAACGUUGUCCAUUGUAUGUAGUUUUGCAGUUCAUUGUGCUUCUUGCGGAGGUUGACGUUUAUACUUAUUUACUGAGAUGUCUGGCCUAUUCUAGUUGUGCUCAUGAUCUAGGUUUAUUGUCAGUCAAAUCACUGCUAACAACAACCCUGCCAAGAGGUGUAGCCAUCAAUUUCUUUAACUAAAUUAUCAUGCUAUAUAUGAACCUACAAAGGAUCAUAUGGAGCGUUAUACUUAAAUUACAAACAAGUCUCCCUGUUUGGCAAGGUUUGAGCCGAAAACAAGUGUCUGUCGGCUAACUGCAUCAUCAUAAGAUGGUCCUACUUGUUUGAACACUACUAGUAAAUGGUCUUACUGGUAUAGAUAAGGGACAAGAAAUGGCCAGAGUAAUUAUUGUCUACGUGCUUACUACCAGUGCACACUAGUUGUAGGAUACAGUACGGAAGCAGGUGCAGAGAUGGCAGAGGACAAUACGGAUAUGAUUACAGCUUAUGAAGGAAACCACAACCACCCAUUACGGCCGCAAGACACAGCAGUGGAUCACAUAACUACUGCAGCUGCUACUAGGCUCUUCUCAGGUUCAACAAUGACCAACAACAGAGAACCAAAUCUAUUACCAAACAGUCUAUUCUCUUCACCAUCAGCAACUCUUUAUUCCCUUACAGAUGCUAACAUUGCUAUUCUGUCAGCCUCUGCACCAUCAAACUGCACACCAGUUGGCUUGUAACGUUAAAUCUUUAAAAAAAGAAUCGUGGCCUAAAGUCUAUCACUAGAACUUGUCUGUGUUGCUUAUACAUUGUACAGUUUUUCUUUGUAAGUGAAAAUUUAAACUUUAAACUCCACCAUUGUAAGACGUAUCAUAUGUAUAAAAUGUUUGAUCCGUAAUGGCGUUUUAUGAAA
Long non-coding RNA from Papaver somniferum (opium poppy), 1348 nucleotides. RefSeq lists it as uncharacterized. The transcript is spliced from 2 exons. The record is from RefSeq and is a predicted model, not a curated record. NCBI's taxonomy places the organism in Eukaryota, Viridiplantae, Streptophyta, Magnoliopsida, Ranunculales, Papaveraceae.